AGGGUUUCUUGAAAUGUGGUACACAUAAUUUAUUGCUUUUUCUUAUAAAAUGAAAACAAAUGAAGAUCUUGACCUUUUAGUAUGUUUUACAGUUUCCUAAAUAUUUUAGAGGCGGAUACAUUUAAAAAAAAAAAAGGUGGAGCUUCAGCCAUGGAAUAACAUGAAAGUGAAUAUGUUAUACCAUGGCUGAAGCUCCGCCUUUUUUCCUUUGGAUUCUAGUCGAGUUGCAUAUUUAAUUAGCAAAGUAUGGUACAACAUAAAUUUGCAUAUAAUAUACCAUGGUUUUCCCUCACCACACUUUUUAAGCAAAUUAUUUCAUAAAAACAUCAAAGGAAAAAAUCCAAUUUAUGUUACAAAAAAUGGUU
Molecule: long non-coding RNA, 365 nt
Filed under: Mytilus galloprovincialis (Mediterranean mussel)
Lineage: Eukaryota; Metazoa; Mollusca; Bivalvia; Mytilida; Mytilidae
Source: RNAcentral